This is a small nucleolar RNA of Quercus robur (English oak), 100 nucleotides long. RefSeq annotates it as small nucleolar RNA Z221/R21b. Lineage: Eukaryota; Viridiplantae; Streptophyta; Magnoliopsida; Fagales; Fagaceae. The record is from RefSeq and is a predicted model, not a curated record. The transcript has a single exon.
GAGCUGUGAUGAGGAAUAGAGAUAGUCAUGCACCACUCUGAUGAUGUUUACAUCAAUCUGUGCUGAUAAAUUUCUCACAACCCAUAUUUUUUCUGAGCUC